UUAACUACCACAACCACACAACCUCUUAGGGCCCUGUAUAGUUGGUUUUAGGUUGGGGCGACCACGGAGUACAACCAAACCUCCGCAAUGAACGGGACCACUCCCUUAUCUAAGAGCCACACCUCUAAGAAUUAAAACACUAACAUAAAAUGAUCCAUGAUCUGAUCAAUGAACCAAGUUACCCUGGGGAUAACAGCGCAAUCCAUUUCAAGAGCCCCUAUCGACAAG
RNAcentral lists this ribosomal RNA (228 nucleotides) under Mantidactylus opiparis. Its description in RNAcentral is "partial 16S ribosomal RNA". Lineage: Eukaryota; Metazoa; Chordata; Amphibia; Anura; Mantellidae. The record is from RNAcentral.